Molecule: long non-coding RNA, 558 nt
Organism: Ctenopharyngodon idella (grass carp)
Lineage: Eukaryota; Metazoa; Chordata; Actinopteri; Cypriniformes; Xenocyprididae
Exons: 2
Source: RefSeq, a predicted model, not a curated record
CUGAAGUAAGUUGAGCCAUAGGAGUCACAUGACAAGAGUGAGGCGCGAUGACUGACGGGUCGAUGCCAGAUGCAAAAGCGCAAGAACAUUUGUUAAAAGUUGCAUUUAUUUUUUUUAAUAUAAAGUAAUAUUGAAUCAACAUUAAGCAAUCAUUUUGUUCGAAGUAAAGGAAAGAUCUGAUGUUAAAGAUCAAAAUGGGCUCCGUGCACAAGAUGGCGCCGGUGAGGUGCGGCGAUGCAAGUUUACCUCCACUCAUACACUUUCGGUCUUAACGACGUUAGCAUUUACUGUAAGAGUAAACUUAUGUAUGAAGCUAGAUAUAGAUAACAGCUAGAUAUAAUGAAAGUUUUUUAAAUUAAAUGUGAUGGUGGUCUAUCAGAGACAAAAGAAAACAUCAUUCUUAUAUUAAUGUGUACCUCUGUGUGGUAAUUCAUUGAGAUAUGCGGAGAUUAUCUUUCAUUCUUUCUCCUGUUAUUUGCCUCCAUAUUUAAUUAUCAGGUUUUGCAACUAACGUUCAAUACAUUUGUACAAAGAACAAAAUAAAAUUGACUUUAAGGA